UACGUAGGGUCCAAGCGUUAUCCGGAAUCACUGGGCGUAAAGCGCACGUAGGCGGAUGUGUCAGUCAGGGGUGAAAUCCCGGAGCUCAACUUCGGAACUGCCUUUGAUACAGCACGUCUUGAGUCCGAUAGAGGUGGGUGGAAUUCCUAGUGUAGAGGUGAAAUUCGUAGAUAUUAGGAAGAACACCGGUGGCGAAGGCGACCCACUGGAUCGGUACUGACGCUGAGGUGCGAAAGCGUGGGGAGCAAACAGG
This 253-nucleotide ribosomal RNA is filed under the name uncultured bacterium. Its description in RNAcentral is "partial 16S ribosomal RNA". It matches the Rfam family "Bacterial small subunit ribosomal RNA", at positions 524 to 776 of the family's 1533-position model. The record is from RNAcentral.